UACAGAGGGUGCGAGCGUUAAUCGGAAUUACUGGGCGUAAAGCGUGCGUAGACGGUUUCGUAAGUCGGGUGUGAAAUCCCCGGGCUCAACCCGGGAACUGCGUCCGAUACUGGAAGGCUUGAAUCCGGGAGAGGGAUGCGGAAUUCCAGGUGUAGCGGUGAAAUGCGUAGAUAUCUGGAGGAACACCGGUGGCGAAGGCGGCAUCCUGGACCGACAUUGACGCUGAGGAGCGAAAGCCAGGGGAGCAAACGGG
This 253-nucleotide ribosomal RNA is filed under the name uncultured bacterium. Its description in RNAcentral is "partial 16S ribosomal RNA". It matches the Rfam family "Bacterial small subunit ribosomal RNA", at positions 524 to 776 of the family's 1533-position model. The record is from RNAcentral.